RNAcentral lists this ribosomal RNA (253 nucleotides) under uncultured bacterium. RNAcentral describes it as "partial 16S ribosomal RNA". It matches the Rfam family "Bacterial small subunit ribosomal RNA", at positions 524 to 776 of the family's 1533-position model. The record is from RNAcentral.
UACGAAGGGGGCUAGCGUUGUUCGGAAUUACUGGGCGUAAAGCGUAUGCAGGCGGAUCUCUAAGUCGGGGGUGAAAUCCUGGAGCUCAACUCCAGAACUGCCUUCGAUACUGGAAAGCUCGAGUCCGGGAGAGGUGAGUGGAACUGCGAGUGUAGAGGUGAAAUUCGUAGAUAUUCGCAAGAACACCAGUGGCGAAGGCGGCUCACUGGCCCGGUACUGACGCUGAGGUGCGAAAGCGUGGGGAGCGAACAGG